Molecule: ribosomal RNA, 464 nt
Filed under: uncultured bacterium
Lineage: Bacteria
Description: bacterial SSU rRNA
Rfam family: Bacterial small subunit ribosomal RNA
Source: RNAcentral
AGUGAACGCUGGCGGCAGGCCUAAUACAUGCAAGUCGAACGGCAGCACAGCAGAGCUUGCUCUGUGGGUGGCGAGUGGCGGACGGGUGAGGAAUACAUGGGAAUCUGCCCAGUCGUGGGGGAUAACGUAUGGAAACGUACGCUAAUACCGCAUGCGCCCUACGGGGGAAAGCCGGGGACCGCAAGGCCUGGCGCGAUUGGAUGAGCCCAUGUUCGAUUAGCUAGUUGGCGGGGUAAAGGCCCACCAAGGCGACGAUCGAUAGCUGGUCUGAGAGGAUGAUCAGCCACACUGGAACUGAGACACGGUCCAGACUCCUACGGGAGGCAGCAGUAGGGAAUAUUGGACAAUGGGGGCGAACCCUGAUCCAGCCAUGCCGCGUGAGUGAAGAAGGCCCUCGGGUUGUAAAGCUCUUUUGUCCGGAAAGAAAGCAAUCGGUUAAUACCCGGUUGUUCUGACGGUACCGG